Molecule: ribosomal RNA, 526 nt
Filed under: Bifidobacterium longum subsp. suillum
Lineage: Bacteria; Bacillati; Actinomycetota; Actinomycetes; Bifidobacteriales; Bifidobacteriaceae
Description: bacterial SSU rRNA
Rfam family: Bacterial small subunit ribosomal RNA
Source: RNAcentral
CGGGUGGUAAUGCCGGAUGCUCCAGUUGAUCGCAUGGUCUUCUGGGAAAGGUUUCGCGGUAUGGGAUGGGGUCGCGUCCUAUCAGCUUGACGGCGGGGUAACGGCCCACCGUGGCUUCGACGGGUAGCCGGCCUGAGAGGGCGACCGGCCACAUUGGGACUGAGAUACGGCCCAGACUCCUACGGGAGGCAGCAGUGGGGAAUAUUGCACAAUGGGCGCAAGCCUGAUGCAGCGACGCCGCGUGAGGGAUGGAGGCCUUCGGGUUGUAAACCUCUUUUAUCGGGGAGCAAGCGAGAGUGAGUUUACCCGUUGAAUAAGCACCGGCUAACUACGUGCCAGCAGCCGCGGUAAUACGUAGGGUGCAAGCGUUAUCCGGAAUUAUUGGGCGUAAAGGGCUCGUAGGCGGUUCGUCGCGUCCGGUGUGAAAGUCCAUCGCUUAACGGUGGAUCCGCGCCGGGUACGGGCGGGCUUGAGUGCGGUAGGGGAGACUGGAAUUCCCGGUGUAACGGUGGAAUGUGUAGAUAUC